AUGAACGCUGGCGGCGUGCCUAAUGCAUGCCAGUCGAGCGAACAGACGAGGAGCUUGCUCCUCUGACGUUAGCGGCGGACGGGUGAGUAACACGUGGAUAACCUACCUAUAAGACUGGGAUAACUUCGGGAAACCGGAGCUAAUACCGGAUAAUAUAUUGAACCGCAUGGUUCAAUAGUGAAAGACGGUUUUGCUGUCACUUAUAGAUGGAUCCGCGCCGCAUUAGCUAGUUGGUAAGGUAACGGCUUACCAAGGCAACGAUGCGUAGCCGACCUGAGAGGGUGAUCGGCCACACUGGAACUGAGACACGGUCCAGACUCCUACGGGAGGCAGCAGUAGGGAAUCUUCCGCAAUGGGCGAAAGCCUGACGGAGCAACGCCGCGUGAGUGAUGAAGGUCUUCGGAUCGUAAAACUCUGUUAUUAGGGAAGAACAAAUGUGUAAGUAACUAUGCACGUCUUGACGGUACCUAAUCAGAAAGCCACGGCUAACUACGUG
Molecule: ribosomal RNA, 496 nt
Filed under: uncultured bacterium
Lineage: Bacteria
Description: partial 16S ribosomal RNA
Rfam family: Bacterial small subunit ribosomal RNA
Source: RNAcentral